This 427-nucleotide ribosomal RNA is filed under the name uncultured bacterium. RNAcentral describes it as "bacterial SSU rRNA". It matches the Rfam family "Bacterial small subunit ribosomal RNA", at positions 355 to 774 of the family's 1533-position model. The record is from RNAcentral.
UGGGGAAUAUUGGACAAUGGGCGAAAGCCUGAUCCAGCCAUGCCGCGUGUGUGAAGAAGGCCUUCGGGUUGUAAACCGCUUUUGUCAGGGAAGAAACGAGUUUCUCUAAUACAGAGACUUAAUGACGGUACCUGAAGAAUAAGCACCGGCUAACUACGUGCCAGCAGCCGCGGUAAUACGUAGGGUGCAAGCGUUAAUCGGAAUUACUGGUCGUAAAGCGUGCGCAGGCGGUUAUGUAAGACAGAUGUGAAAUCCCCGGGCUCAACCUGGGACCUGCAUUUGUGACUGAAUAGCUAGAGUACGGCAGAGGGGGAUGGAAUUCCGCGUGUAGCAGUGAAAUGCGUAGAUAUGCGGAGGAACACCGAUGGCGAAGGCAAUCCCCUGGGCCUGUACUGACGCUCAUGCACGAAAGCGUGGGGAGCAAACA